CAAUUGCACAUCACUUCUGUUUUCAAACAGGAGACAGCUGCAACAGGAAGAGAACAUCUGCUGCCGCGGUAACAUAAGCGUUUCUCGUUCCCGUACUGUCAUGCCUGAGCGGCCUUUUCACCGGACAGCUUUGAGUCUGACAGGCGCCUGAUGAAGUUUGGAGUUUCUGUAAGUGAGCUCAUCAGGCUGUCACUCACAAAGUACUUAUUCACACCUCCUCUUGAAGAGAGAUUAAAAACAAGUGAGCAAUAUUUUUUUUUCCUUCCUCAAAGAACAGCCUUAGUUUGGGCGCCAAUCUGGCUUCUUGUGUGACUUGUGUAAACUUCUAGAUACUUCAGCAGUCUGUGUGAGCCCGGGCCAUCUGUAGCCUCUGUCAGUGCUUCUCUGAGUCUUUGUUGCAACAGAGAAAAAAAGAAAUGUUUAUAUCAGCUCAGAUGGAAGAGUGCAAGCUCUCUCAGCAUCAUUGAUAACAUGGCAGAACUGUUCUCUCUUCUGCUAUGUUAGUUUCACACCUUCUCUCAUUUUCUCUACGCGCUGGGGCCUUUUUUGCAGCUAGCUGGAGCUUGGCCAGCCGGAGCCAUUUCAUCCCAUUAUGUGGUACUGUAAAAAAACAGCUGCUCCGAUUCCACACUGGUGAAUAGGUUAAAUGGUGACACACGGAACAAGGCUUUUUUCGUCACGGUCUAAAUUGACCGACAACAGGCUCUGGAGGUUCCCCGUUUCUUCCCGGCUGCCUUCCAGCUCUGUUGCUUUUGAUUUCCAAUUAGUGAGCAUUCAUUCCUGCAGCCAUUUUAAGAGUUAUAGCUCUCUCUCUCUCUCUCUUUCUCUCUCUCUGGCUCUUUUUAUCUGUAACUGUGAGGAUUUAUCGACAUGUUUUAAUGCACAAUUGGAGAAGACACAAGAAACCCUCAAAAUACGUCAGACCUGAUAAUCAUCUGCUUUUACUUAAUCGUGCAGUUGGACUGUCUAUCAUCAAUACACUGUAUCACUAAACCAAUAUUGUUGAAUUCCGCUAAACUGCAAAAUCAAUAUUUAUAUAAAAAUAACAAAAAUAACACUGGAGAAGCAGCAGUAGCUAGCGAGCUAGCUAGCUAGCUGAAGCAGGCCUCAGAGAUGAUUUUAUUAAAUGUUGUGGCCACACCAAAUACAAAUAAAAUAAUUUGUGAAUUACCAGUAAAGUCAAUGUUAAGACUUAAGUUCGAGUUAGGCAACGUGAAUUUUCCAACAAUCAAAUUUCAAAUUCACAAGCGUUAAGAAAUAUGAACUCAAGAGGACCGUUUGUGCCGUGAUAGCCUAUUAGCAUGAAGAUUACCUGGUGACAUAGAAAGUAAUUCCUUCCUCCCUUUCCUGAGGUUGUGCAGUUUUGUCUUUUCAGUUAUCUAUAAUCAUUAAAAAUAAGCCUUUCAAAUGGGCUCUUUUGAGCGCAUGUUUGGCUUGUAUGGCAUAUACCCAGAAUUAAGACUGCUCUAUCCUUCACAUUGUUUGCAACCCCCGGAAACAUGUUUAUAAAACAAAAUUCCCUCUUAGGUCUUAUUUUUCUAUUACUGCUGCUAAAAACAGCAUAUAAUUCUUCAAUCUGAACAUUAACAGGAUAUUAAAAGCCCCUAAAGUGCAUGUAGGCAGUAAGUUAAAGUUCAAGUGUUUAAUAGCAUGUUGAAAAGUGCUUACUCAACCAUAAAUGUUAUCUGAGAUUGUCCAUUUCCCAUUAAAAAACAGAGAACAAGUGCCUUACAAAAGAUACUUGUACUUUAAGAGUGAAUUAGAUAUUUAGAAUGAAAGCAAAGACAAGAGCUACUCCUCAAAAGCAGACGAGUUCAGCCUUCCCUUUUUCCUUAACUGACCUCACUGUCAGUCCUCGGUCUCUGAGGCAUUGAGAAUUUGCAGGACGGGGGGAGGUUCAUCUAAAACUGACUAUUGCAAGAAAUGUUUUGACAGAGUUUCCAAUGGCUGGUGAAGAAUAAUGGCAAUAUGAGUCAUGAUUAACAACCCUAUCAAACCCUCCAAGAUAUAUUGUGGUCAUUUGUGUCAAGGGAUGUAAAAGUCCAAAUCUGGCUGGAUGAAAAGAUAGCCGGUUAUUCCUGGGGGGAGUUUUUGGGGUGGCAAUGCAUGAUUUGUGAUCACUGCAUAUCAAAACCUGCAAAUGAUGAGCGUACAAAUCAUUAUCAGGCACAGGCAGUGACAUGAUACCAAUUUACAAUCUGUGAAUAGGCUGUUGUCAUUAGCAUAUUGUUUGUAGCAUUUAUGGAGGUCGCAGUCAUGGCAUAGAGAUCUUAUAUUUAAUUAUGAAUGAAACAUGACAGCAGUGCAAGGGGGCUAAUUUGAAUUUAUCACUAGGUGAAGCUGCCAUUCACUGUCAGCAACCAAACAAAGCCACUCCUCUGACUCCUCUCAAAAUGCGCUUUUGUCCCCACCGUUGUGCAGUGACUGUUGUGUGAUGAAUGAGAAAAGUCAAGACCCGCUGUGUCAAAAAGAAUCUCCCUGGAGGAAACUGAUGUCCUUGUCCAAAAGCCGCAAAGUCUCAGAGGACCGAGUACACGGCGCCACAAAAAUCCAACCAAGGGCAGAUGAUGUCUCUGUAAAAGUUUAAUCCAUAUUCCAAAACAAAGUGCGAGCUGUGUCGCCACGUUUUUCCAUACGCAUGAAGAAUUUAUGAUGGAGGGUGUUUCAGUCUGUCAAAACCAGAAGGUUUGAUGACAGGCUCUGGCCUCCACAAGGGUCUGACAGCUUCUUUUAAAGGCACAGUGCGCAGAGUUUAGCAUGUAGCAGAAGAGACUUGGAGCAAAUUAAAUAUAUAUAAAAUAUUUUUAACCCUUUAAUGCCUGACACCACAAAUUAUGGACAGAAAUUAUAAAUAUUUUGAAGCUGAAAUGUUUAUUUUACUUACUACUGAAAAAAAUCUAAAUGUCCUAAAAAUCUAUCAAAUAUAUUUAUUUAUCUUGUUUGAUUCAUUAGAUGUUUUGGGAAACUGAUAAACUACAAGAGGACAUUUUUAUAAUUUAUUGGACUGUAUUUCGGUGUUUAUUUUUAGUAAUUCGUUGAUCAUAUUGAUUUGAUAGAAGUAUAUAAAAGUAUGUAUCAAAUAUGAUACAAAAGGCAAUAAAGGGUUAAGUAUGUUUUGAUAGGUUACACCGGGUGCUACUGUAGCUGAGAAUGGACAAACUUGUAAAUGACAUAUAUUUUUUUCAGUCUGUGCCAAGUUAUUUGUAUUUGUUGAUGUUUUUGAUGUAAAGAAUGACAAAUGGAUGAUCAUACUUAAACUCACAGGAACUUCUUGACCUUGAAGGCCACCGUUGCUUUAUCAUUGGAAGGGGUGAGCAUGGGGGCAAAUGUAAUGAUCCCACAUUGCUGCAUAUUCCAGUUUCUAUUCUCUGCAUAGAUCCAGACUCGAGUCAGUACAGUACAGAUGCCAGUUUCCUUUACUGUCAUACAUGUGCAACUUAUGACAAGUGUGACUACCUCAGUGGCCGUCAAUGUAUACACACUAUUGUGGUAUCAUAUAUUAGGCGAAAUGUCAUAAAAUUCCAAUGCACUGCUUCCCAAACCUAUUUUGGCAAAAGACAUGUCAUGGUGAGCAAUGGCGGUAUCAAGGGAAAUUGCUUCAUAAAAAUGUCAAAUCACAAAGAAAAGUAACCACUUUAAUCCAGAAGCAGGGGUCAUGGUGUGGCCUCCAGUCACUCAUUCUGGCAUUGCCAUCUCUGCCUUAUUGCAACAGCUAGUCAAAGCAAAACAUUACAAAACUGAGCCAGUGCUUUAACUAAAACCCACGUCUGAGCGGUGCCAUGUUCACUGUGUCGCAUCACAGAGGCUUUUUGUAAUUCCGCCCAGCACUGACCACUCCAAACAUCCCCAAAUCCCUCUUGUCAAUAAAGAAAAGACAACACAAGGAACUGACUUCUCGGCUUUUCUUUGCCUUGUCAAAAGUUUCCAUAUCGCGUUGUGAGUUCUACACAGCAUAACUAAGACCCUGCAAGCAGCUUAUCUGCUUAAAACAGGAGGGCGAGAGAGGGUGAAAAAACAGCUUCCGUCUUCCAUCUUUUUUCCUGGUUCACAGAGUGGGUUUAUUGAAGCCACCAGAGCUUUGGUUUCUCCCUCUAGAUCCCCCCCUCUGCCAUUCCUCCCAGUCUAAUCCACUUAGGCCCAUGCUUUCUCCGCUGGUCUUGAUUGGCGAGGCCUCUAAACUUCAACCUCUGGAUCCAGGAAAAAUCAAUAAAAUUUACUGGACUGCAAAAAUUCUCAGUAUUAGAGGCUACGAUUAAAAUAUAAUACUAUUACGACAUUGUUACUGUAGAAAUACAUCAUUUGACUAUAGGAGAAACUGGGACAAUGAGGUAGGAGAGUGUCAGGUAUUGAAAUUGACCUCCAAUCAGGGGUGUGCACAGAGGAGCAGGCACAGGUGGCACUGCCCUCCUUUAAAUGGCCACCCUGGUCCCAUCUCCAAAUUCUCCAAAUUGAAGUUAAAAAACUUCCUUCUGGAUGCUCCUCAAGUGUAUUAAUCAUGAUAAGAUGCUCUUCUAAUAAUUUUAUGUAGAUAUACAGGUUAAAUUAGGUUGAUGCUUGUGAUCUCAGUUUAAUACUUCAAAGAGUGUUUUGAUUUAAGUGUUUAAUUUAUCGUUUGGUAAACAUUUAAUCAGUAAGUUGUAGGCGGUGAUACACAAUUAAAUGUUGCCUAGGUUCUCACAAAAAUAUGGGGAAAUUAGCGUUAAGCUCUCAAAAUUUCAAGCAGGAGGACCCCAAGAACCCCUUUUGAUUUUCUUGUGCAUCUUCAUCAUGAUCGCAGAUUGCUUAAGAGAAAUAAGUGAAGGGUUUCAGAGGCAGAUAUUGGCUUUUUGAACCCAAUUGUUUAUUAGAGGUGGCCUUUUGAUUAAUUCGAGUAAUAAAUAAACUCCAAAUAGCAAGAUGGACACUGUGAACCAUGACAUGAGCUCAAUACUGACUUUUAUCCUUAUCUAUCUUAUUUAUUACAGUUUAUUUGUUUCAUACAUAAAGAGAACACUGAAUUAACUCAAUAGAAAUUCCUUCACUUAUCACAGAAUGGCGUCAUUUCCGUAAAGUUGUCACCAAACUUUUCUUUGUCUUUUUUUUUUUUGUAACUCUUACUUUUAUUCUCAUCAUUUUCUCGAGAGGAAGACUGAGAAAUUUAAUCACAGAGCUCCUUUAACACUCCUCCUGUCUGUCCACCAUUGUACACAACUUUUCACAAUUCAUUGUGGGUGUCUACUGUACAGGGUAUAAUUAUUAUCACUCAUGUUUUAGACAGCACUACAAAUGGUGUAUUCGCUGUGCAGCACACUGCAGUAGUGGGUGAUUUUGGGUGCAACUUGGCCUGAACAGUUUGUCAAAAUAGGAUUUAGGGGAUUAUUUUCUUCAGUCCUUUGAUUCUGAUAUACCGAAUACCAUUUCUCUGGUAUUUACACUUAACACCUUAAUGCAUCACAUUGUAAAUCCUGCCACAUCCCACUCAUCUCUUUUCCAUUCAUUUCGUUGUCUCUCAAUGCCGUCCCUUAAAGCGCCUCGGUCUCUCACUCUCCCUCUACAAAACAACACUGAUGCUAAUGUCAUUGAAACCCCAGGUGCUUCUAGUGCCUCUUGAAGUCUGACAUCAGUCCCUGCCACCCCCUUUCCCCUGGGUCCAAUUUUCCCGGCAUGAAGCUUCAAGGUCCUCAGCUGAGCUCUCUGUUUAGCAACAACAGUAGCUGCAACUGCGAGUGUGUGUCAGUCUGAAUGGUAAUGAGCGUCCCGGAGAUUGAACCCCCAGUCUUCCCCGCUCUCCCUCUCUCUGUCUUCCUGAAAAUAGAUUUGUUCUCACAUGCAGUACAGAUACUGUAAUCGCAUUCCUCCAACAGUGAUCCCUUUGGGAUUUGUUGCACGCGCACCAAAAAUGUAAAUGAAUGCAGGGGGGGAUAGACAUCAUCAGCGAUAAAUCAUAUUACUGGCAAUUCUGCUUAGCAACACAACUAGACUGCACUGUAAGCAAUGACCACAGGGAAUUAGCUCUGAGUCUCGUAUUUCCCAAAUACUACACCCCGUUAUUGUCAGCUCACUCCAUUUCCUUGUUUUAUUGCACAUUUACAAGAAAGCAAAAAUGUACUUUAGAGGAGUACAUUCGUAGGGGGACCAGUUUAAUUGUAAGAAGGAAAGGCGUGCUAUAAUGGAAAUAUAUAUUUCUUCACAGCAAGAAAGGAAAGUAGAGAGGAGGUCUUAUAACAUCCCUGUCUAUAAAUCUCUGGUAAAAUAAAUGCCAAACUGAGAAUGUGGCAAAAUGCUUUUUUUCUUCACCACAUGGUUCAUUGUUUGCGCCUGGGCCACUCUAAAGUCUCCAAGAAGUGCGGGACUGUCGUUAUAUAAUGCAGCUGGAAUCUUGGUUGUUGGCUGUCAAACUAACAAGCUUGGGGAAAUACAAAAAUGGUUGGGUGAGAGAUAUCUGAGGGCUACUAAAUUACCUUAGAGACUCACAGAGAGAUGGGCGCACCUUGGCGUACGUUCAUACGAGCGCGUUUGUUUGUUCGCCGGUUGUGUUUGCAGAAAAGAAAGACUCCUAGAUAAGGUUUCUGCUUAUAUUCUCGCUGCCUCCACACUGGAAAUCUCAAAACCCUGACAAAUAUUAAUGCAAGUUGUGCAAACUUUGGAUUCUCAGGGGAAACUAUCUCAGAUGUUUCAUGUCCCACGAUUAAUAAAUGAUGCCCCGCUCUUGACAGGGACUAUUCUUAACCCCCAAGCCUGCGCAACG
Xyrichtys novacula (pearly razorfish) is the source of this 6727-nucleotide non-coding RNA. The record is from the annotation of a GenBank genome assembly. Lineage: Eukaryota; Metazoa; Chordata; Actinopteri; Labriformes; Labridae.